This 103-nucleotide small nucleolar RNA is filed under the name Streptococcus mitis SK579. Lineage: Bacteria; Bacillati; Bacillota; Bacilli; Lactobacillales; Streptococcaceae. The record is from RNAcentral.
AUGAGUGAUGAAAAAAGAACCGAAAUGAAAAUAUCCAAUGAUAAACCCAAUUCUAAUAGCGAAAAUAGUGGGAAAGUGGAGAGUACAAACUCAACUUCUGAAG